GACGAACGUUGGCGGCGUGCUUAACACAUGCAAGUCGAACGGAAAGGCCCUGCUUUUGUGGGGUGCUCGAGUGGCGAACGGGCGAGUAACACGUGAGUAACCUGCCCUUGAUUUUGGGAUAACUUCAGGAAACUGGGGCUAAUACCGGAUAGGUGCUCCCGAUGCAUGGUGGGGGUUGGAAAGUUUCGGCGGUUGGGGAUGGACUCGCGGCUUAUCAGCUUGUUGGUGGGGUAGUGGCUUACCAAGGCUUUGACGGGUAGCCGGCCUGAGAGGGUGACCGGCCACAUUGGGACUGAGAUACGGCCUAGACUCCUACGGGGGGCAGCAGUGGUAGAGUUUGAACCAGGGUCGGAAUCCUGGUGCAGCAACGGCGCGUGCGGGUUGACGGCCAUCGGGUUGUAAACCGCUUUCGCCUUUAGCGGAGCGUGAGUAGCGGUAAUGGGUAAAGAAUCACCGGCUUGCUUCUUG
This 468-nucleotide ribosomal RNA is filed under the name uncultured bacterium. RNAcentral's name for it is "partial 16S ribosomal RNA". It matches the Rfam family "Bacterial small subunit ribosomal RNA", at positions 28 to 507 of the family's 1533-position model. The record is from RNAcentral.